This 23-nucleotide non-coding RNA is filed under the name Arabidopsis thaliana (thale cress). The record is from RNAcentral. Lineage: Eukaryota; Viridiplantae; Streptophyta; Magnoliopsida; Brassicales; Brassicaceae.
GGGUUAGGGGUCGUGGUCGUUUC